UACAAAACAACAUGGCAGACUAGUCCUCCAUCUUAGUUCAUACUGAUUAUUCUUUUGAUUCACGUGUCUGCCUAUCUCAGUUUUUUUAUGCUCCUUCUCUCCCUUCUCCCUCCCCGCUUCUCUCUCUCUCUGUCCCGCCACCUUCUCCACUCUGCGACCAGCAUUUGGCUUUUUCCACUUGUGGCAGAUUACUGUAAGGCUAUUGUAAAACAACUUCCUGCCUCUUUUGGCUCUGGUUCCAAAAAACUGCAAAGGCUGGGCUCACUCGUCUCCCCCUCUCUCUCCCCGAAGUAUCAGAAGGUCUAAAAAGAGAGAAAGCCAGAAAAAGGAAAAGUGUAAAAUCUCUGUCUCCUCUUGAGGACUUAUGUUGAUGCCUUGUGUCUUUAAUGCCACAUGAGAAGUAAAGGAGGAGAGCAGGGGACUGCAUGCCUAGCAGAACGGAAAGAACAGCACAGCAACACCGGACCGACUGGAGGCUCUUCCGCUAGCUCACUCCGAGGACUCUCUCCUCUCCUCCUCUCUUCAUGACAAGGUUCAAUAAGACACAGGUGGCCACAUUCAAUGGACCUGCAGAGGGAAAAACAUUGUUUGUAUUUACUUACUGAAGACAUGGUGCAACCAAGUUCGGGCGUUAUUAACAGUCUCUCUCGUCUUCUUUUUAAAAAAUGACACAAAAUGGGUUGGAUGUGUCUGCAUUGGAAUGAGCUAGAACCCUAAAACCCUAGAACCCAAUCCAAAGCACUGCAGCCUCACGUCACAUCUCGCCAUGCGUUUUAACCAAUUGAAAAACUCACGUCUUUGCGUUGAAACAUAUAGGUUUAAACAUACAGUUUGUGGAUAAUGUAGACAUAUAUUAAGAAUAUGUAUUUUUGUAUGCACAAUCCUGCUCAGUUUCAGUAGAGGACAGACAGUAGGGGAAAUGGACAUGGAACUAUGAAUUUGUUUUAGUUGUUGGUUUGGAACGGUCUGUAGUAACAAUUUAGCUUAGUGUGCACGUAGCACAGCAUUUGCAAGAAGUUCACUUGAGGAUAGGGUUUUGGUUUUGGGAGGAUGCCAACUUUUACGACUGCGUGCCUCUACCUCGUUCCCCUCUUCUCUACUCUGGUUGCAUUUGUCUGUAAUGAAUUAUAUUUAAAAAUGUAUUUAUAUAUGUAAUUAUAUAUGUAAUUAUUAUAUUUUAAGUUGUGUUUUAGAAUUAUAAAUGACUUUAACCAUGCUUUCUUUAAACACAUUUCAAAUAAUAAAUUAAGCCAUUUUAAGAUGGCACGUUUUAAUAUUUUUUUUGCUUAGAUAUUUUUUAAGGAAUGCUUUCUUUCACAGGUGUGUAUAAGAACUUUACAACAAUACCAUAAAAAAAACAUGUCCGAGUACUACAGAAAAAAAGCUUGAGGGAGGACAGGGAGGUAAAUGUAACUAUUCCUUCUGUAGUAUAUUUGAAGGGAUUUCUUAACCCUAUUGUUAAUAAUUACGAUAUGCUAUGGAAUGCUAUGUAUCUGAAUCAGCAUUAACUCUUAGAAUCUUUAGAUGAAAUCACAAUAGAUGAAAUGGUUAAUAAAGUUUCAAGUAAAUAUCCAA
Long non-coding RNA from Oncorhynchus mykiss (rainbow trout), 1575 nucleotides. RefSeq lists it as uncharacterized. NCBI's taxonomy places the organism in Eukaryota, Metazoa, Chordata, Actinopteri, Salmoniformes, Salmonidae. The record is from RefSeq and is a predicted model, not a curated record.